UACGAAGGGGGCUAGCGUUGCUCGGAAUCACUGGGCGUAAAGCGCACGUAGGCGGAUUGCUAAGUCGAACGUGAAAUCCCCGAGCUCAACUCGGGAACUGCGUCCGAUACUGGCGGGCUUGAAUCCGGGAGAGGGAUGCGGAAUUCCAGGUGUAGCGGUGAAAUGCGUAGAUAUCUGGAGGAACACCGGUGGCGAAGGCGGCAUCCUGGACCGGCAUUGACGCUGAGGCGCGAAAGCUAGGGGAGCAAACGGG
Molecule: ribosomal RNA, 253 nt
Filed under: uncultured bacterium
Lineage: Bacteria
Description: partial 16S ribosomal RNA
Rfam family: Bacterial small subunit ribosomal RNA
Source: RNAcentral